AUUUGCAGCAUGGAGAGUGAAGGAAGAAGCCAGUGUAUUCGUCCCUCUCACACAAGAACAAGAUCGCCAUGUAUCGGAUUAUUGAGGAUAUUAUUUAUUGCUUUUAUCCACACGGCGCGGGCAAAUAAGCAAGAAAGUUUGUCAACGAUGGUCCCAAGUUAACCAGCAAUCUACAAAAAGAUUAGCGUGUUCUGUGUUGAGAUUAGUUUAUCAACGGACAAUACAGAUUCUCAGCAAUGAAAGGUGCAAAAGCCAGCGAUAUGAUUGUAGCUACAAUGUAACAGAUCUCAAUAAACGUGUUAUGUUGAAAUUCGAAAUAUCCAAAAAAUGUUUCUCCCUUAUUAUCGUCUUUUCUGUGACCAUUCAUGUAUAUAUAUAUAUAUAUUUUAGCAGAACAAUGUUGCAAUUUAGUUGCACAUGCUACACAAAGUGUGGUGUUGUAGACCAGCCUUCCUGACACAGCAUGAUGAGUUGAAUAGGCAGCUGUGACUGGCAGCUGAAUAAUGCACUUUCAAGUUGAUCAUGAUACUAUUUCAAUAACCAAAUCCCCAUCAGAUAAGCAGAUAAGCAGUGUUUACAGAGUACAGAGUUAAAAGUAACCUGAAUGCGGUCUGUAAACACACCCAUUUUUAUUUUUUCUGUUAGUACUAGGGCCGGGCAACUUCAUGCGUUUCUAUCGUGUACGACAAUUAUUUUAUCAUGUAUUAAGGCAGUCUUUAUUGUUACUUCUAUUAUUGUAAACGUCAGUUGCUCACUCCCUUUUAGUCAUAACAAAAGCAAAACCCCGCCCGUAAAUGGUCAUUGUCCAGUCUUACGUCCUAUCAACCGUUACUAUGUAAACAAGAUCCUACAAGCUAGACUCCCUCAGCCCAACAUCAUACGAGCCACCUCGACCACAAAUUGGCCGGUCCGGGUCAGGCGUCUGGAGGAUUGGUGAUGAGGCGAAGCUGCCUCACCUGAAGGAGACCACAGGAAAGGCUCCUUCGAGAAGGUCAGGGCAGUGAGGGUAGCUGCCACAGAGUAUUUGCGGACGAUGUGACGAUAGAAGUUGGCAAACCCCAGGAAAUGCUGAAGCUGUUUGGGUUUUUAGGAACAAAAUGCUUCUCUCGACUAGCCAACUCAGUGACACCAUCCAAAGUUGUGGGCGUAUCAUAAGAAACCAGUUCAUCCUUUAUAUAGUCAAACCAUGGAGAAAGGUGUCACAGAAGGCUGAGCUGUUCCAUUGGCUUUGACCAGCCUCUGGUCCAGAAAUCAAUGAAGUAAUCCGCCAUCGUAUGCUCGCCUUGUUUUAGUCCCAUCAGUCCCUGUCUUGACUCUGAACUACAGCUCUCUAAACCAAAAAAAAA
Cynoglossus semilaevis (tongue sole) is the source of this 1346-nucleotide long non-coding RNA. RefSeq lists it as uncharacterized. The record is from RefSeq and is a predicted model, not a curated record. NCBI's taxonomy places the organism in Eukaryota, Metazoa, Chordata, Actinopteri, Pleuronectiformes, Cynoglossidae. The transcript has 2 exons.